Long non-coding RNA from Etheostoma cragini (Arkansas darter), 120 nucleotides. RefSeq lists it as uncharacterized. The transcript has 3 exons. Lineage: Eukaryota; Metazoa; Chordata; Actinopteri; Perciformes; Percidae. The record is from RefSeq and is a predicted model, not a curated record.
CAAUAGAGUGACCGGCCUCUGAUGAGCUGUUACCACCACCAUCUCCAGCCAGAGAGGACAUUAUUUCUUCAGCUUCUUCUUGCGUUGUCACGCCGGCGGGAGGUGUGCCUACAUCAUAAA